GUUCUUCUCAGAUCACUCAUUAUCUUUUAUAUAUCUCACUGAGGCUGUUUUAAUUUUGCAAAAAUUCUCAAGCAUACUUACUUUGCAUUUAUUGCCUGAUCAAAACGGGAUCUGAGGAGGGGAAUGUCAUACUCUUAGAUCAAAGACUUUGGAAAUUAAAAUCUUUGUCAACUCUUGCUGGCAUAUUGCUUAUUAGAGGGACCAUGGGCUAUCAUUUUUCUCUCUUUUCUUUUUUUUAAGUGGAUACCGAGAUACCCCUAAUUCUACUGCCGGACACUUGUCCAUUUUUUUCUGCGAGGUUGUCGAGCACUUGCUCCUUUUUAUUUCCUCAAAAAUAUCUUUAUUUUUGCAUAGCCCAUGCCUCUAAUGCAAUAAUACUUCGGAAGAGUGAAUCUUUCUUAAAUAAUGUCUUGAUCUUAGGAGCAUGAUAAAUCUCUCAACAAGGGUCUAACUCAUUUUGAACAAACUCAAUACAGAGUAGAUAGCUUUUAUAAUUAAAAUUAAUAUUUUCAGUUUUAUCAGGCAUAUAAAACACUGAGGAUGGUAGCU
This 549-nucleotide long non-coding RNA is filed under the name Sorghum bicolor (sorghum). RNAcentral's name for it is "long non-coding RNA (SBIC_LNC010319)". The record is from RNAcentral. Lineage: Eukaryota; Viridiplantae; Streptophyta; Magnoliopsida; Poales; Poaceae.